This is a long non-coding RNA of Gorilla gorilla gorilla (western lowland gorilla), 2412 nucleotides long. RefSeq lists it as uncharacterized. The transcript has 2 exons. Lineage: Eukaryota; Metazoa; Chordata; Mammalia; Primates; Hominidae. The record is from RefSeq and is a predicted model, not a curated record.
GGUGGCAGGCAGCUAAAGUUACUCAAGUGUCAACACAACGGCCAGCUCUUGGAGCUGCGUGAGCCAUCCUCGAUAGAGCUCCGUGUCACUUUACAGGCCUCCCAGCCCAGCAGCCAGGGGACACUCACCUGAAAUGCUUUCUACAUGCCCAGUGGACCUGGUCUGAGUGUAGGGUAUGGUAUUAUCGGCACAUGGAUCAAGGCUGUCGGAUCAGCAAAUGGGCCAAGAUCUCACUACCCAGGCUGUAUGUGGCAUCAGCACAGGGGCCGUGACAUCGGCACACAGUGCUUCCCUGGGAAAUCACUCUCCAGCGUUGAGCCAUGGCCGAAGCUUUAAAGGCAAUGGGAAACACCCUCCUCAGGGAGCCUGUGUGGCUUCUUUGCUGUCCCCUGCCUGAACAUCACUGACCAGCUGCGUGGCCAUGGAUAAAGCCCUUAGGUUCCUUCUCCCUGGGCACCGCAUGCAUGAGCCUCCCUGUCCUAGCACUGAACACGUUACCCUUACACUAUCCCACCUCUCUCCCUGGCUCACCUCUGAAUCCCCAACACGAAGCCAACUUUCCACACGUUUGUUGAAUGAAUAACUGUGAGCUCUGCAAGUGCAAAAAUUGUAUUGUAUUCUGCUUUAUAUCUUUAGGGUCUAGCAUCAGGCCUGAGGGCACAGUGCAUACUUGGUUUGUGUACAAAGAAGAAAAGAGAGCGCAGGGGAGGGAGUUAGAAACGUUCAUCCCUCUUUGUACGCCGCCCUCCUAUACUUGGUGUAUGCGCUCAGUAAAUCAAUUAAAGUCACUGUGAAUCAAUGAUGAUCAACGGAUGAAUGAACCUCACCAGUUGAGCAAAGAGGCUGGACCAGAUGUUUGCACAAGUGCCAACCAAUCCUGAAGAAAUCCAUCUCAGGGUGAUGCCGUGCAAGUGGCUGGCCCCAUGGCCUGUGGGCUCUAAGCCAGGACGGACGGAUGACCCAUCCCCUUAGGGCUCUCUGCCCCGGCGCCCGGCCCCUGUCCCAUCCUCCAUAGCUCAUGCCCACUUACUUCUGACAUAAAGCCAGGCAUCCAACAGCAAGGGUUCCCAGUUGAAGCGGGCUUUUUUGUUUGAGACGGAGUUUCACUCUUGUUGCCCAGGCUGGAGUGCAGUGGCGUGAUCUCGGCUCACUGCAACCUCCUCCUCCCGGGUUCAAGCGAUUCUCCUGCCUCAGCCUCCCGAGUAGCUGGGAUUACAGGCACGCACCAUGAUGCCCGGCUAAUUUUGUAUUUUUAGUAGAGACAAGGUUCCUCCAUGUUGGUCAGGCUGUUCUCAAACUCCUGGCCUCAGGUGAUCCACCUGCCUCAGCCUCCCAAAGUGCUGGGACUACAGGCAUGAGCCACCAUGCCUGGCCUAAAAACCAUCUAUGGUUUUUAAUUUUCCUUCCACUAAUGUACCAUUUGCUUUUUUCACAGGAAGACAGCUGGCCCAGUGACCCUAAGAAGUGGAUUGCAGAAGUGGGGGUACCUCCCAGGUUCUCCAGGUUUGUCUUCAGAGUGUUGUAGGCAGCCGUUCGGGACUUCAGGUCCAUCUCGAUCUGCGCCAGUUGCUGUUUUGGGAAAGCAAAAGCUCCAGGUGACCUUGAGCAUUGAAGGAGUUGGCUGAACUUUUUGAAAUGGCCACAACAGCUCAUGGUGCUUUCAAGAAAAAUAACUGCCCUGCCCAUUUGCCGGGAUGACUUCUGUUUACCAGCAUUUGGCGCUUCCAGGGAGUCUUGGAUUCCAGGCGCCAAGCCAUGAUGGAUUUUCUAGGAUGACUCAGUGAGCCCAACCUUUCCUGAUUUCAAGCCCAUCCUGAACGGUCGGGACAUCCCACGCCCACAGCUACCCUCUCAGGCUCUGCUGGAGGGCAGCUCAGGCUGACCCCCAAUCGUUGCUUCCAGGGGUACCCAACAUGGCCUGGCCCUCUCAAAUGCCCAUGUCUCCUGGCUCGGCUGUGCCAAUCUCCCUUGCAUGGAUUGGCAGGGGCAGGGAGGUGCAGUGCACAGAAACAAGACAGGCCUGGGCGCAAGCCACGCCCUCCUGCUUUCUGGCCGACUGGCUCAGGUUCCCCAUUUGUUCCACAGCGGGGAUAAUGCCAGUGCUGAGAGCCGACUGUGCCAGGCUCCUUCACAUUCCCUCCUCGCAGCCCCAUGUGGUGACACCCCACCAGCUUGGACAACCAGCCACGGCAGGAGCAUUUACACCACGGCCAUCCACAAAUGCUACAGGCCAGCACACGGCUGGUGACAGGAGAAUCUCGAGAGUCAAUAGAUGAAGAAAAUGGGUGCUCCAUAGAAUGCCAACAGCUUUAGUCUAAAUAUACACAUUUUUAUAUAUGGAAGAAUCCAUUGUCAACUUUUAAACAUUGGUUACCUUUUGGGAGAAUAAAGGGAAUGGGGGCGAUGAUCACA